Molecule: long non-coding RNA, 1825 nt
Organism: Contarinia nasturtii (swede midge)
Lineage: Eukaryota; Metazoa; Arthropoda; Insecta; Diptera; Cecidomyiidae
Exons: 2
Source: RefSeq, a predicted model, not a curated record
GGAAUAUCACAAAAGAAAGAGUAUCAAUAAUAAAAUAAAAAGAUAAAAAAUAUCUGGGAUACGAACUCGAUACCUUCAGCUUUGACGGCGACCGUUUAUCCAAUGUGCUGUUGCACCUCUUAUGAGAUAUUGAGUAAUAAUGAAACGUUAUAGUGCAGACACGGUGAUCAUACAAUAUACCUUCUUAACAAAUGCAUCGCGGCUACAUCCACAAUGCAAUAAAUACAAAUAAAUCUGUUGAAAUUAAUUUGAAUAUUUAUUGCUACAACACUCUAUUGAAUAUUUCAUAUAGAAAAAAAUGCCAAAUAAAAAUAGAAUAGUAAUUCUAGAGAACUCUAGAGAAAUGCCAAACCGUACAGUAUCGAAAUGAAAAUCUAUUUUUACACAAUACAUAAUACAUAAAAAAAAUUCUUCUUUGACAUGCAUAUUUUAUUUUUCUGCUCACACGCGCACAUGCAUGACUUUACGCGCAGCGUUGCCGUGUGUGAAUGUAAGUCACUCUUAUGUACUCAGUCACAAUUCAAUUCUCGCGGCAAGCAGACGCGACUAUUGAUUGUGAUUCAGAGUGCUUUCUAUUCUCCAUCAGUUACCACCAGUUUCAUCAGCAAUUUUUGAGUGAAUUACUUAUUCGUUUGAAUUGUAUUGAAUAGGCUGAAAAAAGAAUUUAAUAUUUUUCGCCGAAUUUCAAUUGACAAUAAGAGUAUUUUUUUUAAAUAAAAAAAGGAAGCGGAAAAAAAUGGUGGGUGGGCCGACAAAGGAAUCAAACCUUUACAAGCAAAGUACAGAAGCAUACGGAAGAAUGGUGUGACUUUCGCCUAGAACGGUAUACCGUUCAAUUAUAUAGAGAAGGGGCAUUGAUAAUCCUUCAUAAUCCACAUUUUCAUCAUAUGCUAGUUAGUAUAUUAGUGAUGUUAGUACUGGAAACACACAACAGCAUCAGUAGAAACGUUGUUUCAUCAUUAGUAGGCUACUAGUCACCCAUUUACACCCAUUUAUCACCGCACCUUUAUCAGUGCAGCUUAACUUCACGUAUAGUUGUUAUGUGCUUGUACUGUCUUUGCUGAAAUCGACCUGCACAACGACCGUUUAAUAUUUCAUUUAUAUUGCAGCAUCAACCACUAAGCACUAUACCGAAAGUAAGACGACAAAGUGCACACUUGCAAUGAGUUACACACAUUUUUACUAUAAUUCAUUGAGGCGAUCGUAGUACGAACGAAUGUGAAUGAAUCUACUUUCAAAAAAUUUACAUGCUCACCAGUAAACAUUCUCAGCGUAUCAGAAUUUGUUUUCAAAAUAACACGUUUCGCAUCAAAUUUUUUUCCCCAAAUUCAUUCUUGAAGUGCCAAAAAUUCCCUUUUUGUGUUAUGUUCGGUCAUUUAUAUCUUUUAAACGACGCAAAAUAUUCGAUUCGAAUACUUUCUUCGGGAAAGUUGUAGCCCUUGAAGAGACAAAAAAAUAUCACUAAAGGAAGGAUCAAUGACCUAUCCUUGGGGGUAAAAAUGUCCCCAGAAGUAAUCCAUUAUGGCAAUGACCAAAAUGGGUCAAAAACCUUCCAAAUCCCAAAAUUGACCCUAUUUUUGGAUUCUUCACCAAUUUUUCGGAUUUUUGAUGCCAGAUGUCUUAUUUUGGACCACAUCCAGCAGUAAUUUUGAAAAAAAAAUCUGAUACACUGAGCAUGCUUACUUGAUUUUUUCAUGCAUUUGCAAACAUAUUUCAUAUUAAGAAUAUCUACAUUUUGCAAAACAAAGGGGAGAUAGAUAGACGGAAUUAAAAUAUUUAAAAUUCGGAAUAUCACAAAAGAAAGAGUAUCAAUAAUAAAAUAAAA